RNAcentral lists this ribosomal RNA (496 nucleotides) under uncultured bacterium. RNAcentral's name for it is "partial 16S ribosomal RNA". It matches the Rfam family "Bacterial small subunit ribosomal RNA", at positions 29 to 507 of the family's 1533-position model. The record is from RNAcentral.
AUGAACGCUGGCGGCGUGCCUAAUACAUGCAAGUCGAGCGAACAGACGAGGAGCUUGCUCCUCUAACGUUAGCGGCGGACGGGUGAGUAACACGUGGAUAACCUACCUAUAAGACUGGGAUAACUUCGGGAAACCGGAGCUAAUACCGGAUAAUAUAUUGAACCGCAUGGUUCAAUAGUGAAAGACGGUUUUGCUGUCACUUAUAGAUGGAUCCGCGCCGCAUUAGCUAGUUGGUAAGGUAACGGCUUACCAAGGCAACGAUGCGUAGCCGACCUGAGAGGGUGAUCGGCCACACUGGAACUGAGACACGGUCCAGACUCCUACGGGAGGCAGCAGUAGGGAAUCUUCCGCAAUGGGCGAAAGCUUGACGGAGCAACGCCGCGUGAGUGAUGAAGGUCUUCGGAUCGUAAAACUCUGUUAUUAGGGAAGAACAAAUGUGUAAGUAACUAUGCACGUCUUGACGGUACCUAAUCAGAAAGCCACGGCUAACUACGUG